CCAUAAACCGACAAUAAAUUUUUGCAAAUUCUGUCGAUAAGGUUUCCACAAUUUGGUAUAAAAGAUCGAGAUUCUGAGAAUAUCAACACAGUAGCUGCAAAAUGUCUGAAAAUUUCACUUUAUUCCUUACCGCCUUGGGGCUGUUUUCGGUCUCCCUAACUGGUGCAUAUAAUAUAGCGUCACAUGUUGCUGAUGGUAAGAAUAAACUUAUCUAUGAAUUCAUUCAAUUAUGGGAAGUUCAUAAAAUGAUGCUAUUUUCGUUAGGAGUGCCUGCACACCUCAACAUAACUAUUGCCCCAUUCGUGCAGAUCGGCGAUGGAUACUACCUUAUUGAGCAGAAGGUGUUGAAGACUUGGUAUCAGGCGUAUUUGGAAUGUCGAAAACUGGGUGCCGAUCUAGUCAGUUUCGAGACCCGCAAAGAAAUGGAAGCAGUUCAUGCCCAUCCAUCUAUUACCGGAGAGAGGCUUCAAUUCUGGACUUCAGGCACAGACUUGGCAAAGCAGGGCGAGCAUGUCUGGUUCGCAAAUUCCAAGCCCCUGUCUAAAGAUUUUUGGUAUCCCGGAGAGCCAAACAAUUCCGGCGGCAACGAGCGAUGCGUUACAUUAUGGUAUAAAUUUAAAGAUAGCCCUGGCCUAAACGAUUUACCCUGCGAAAGGCUUCACCGUUAUAUUUGUGAAGCUCCUACUCCGAAGACAGCCUCUUUCGUUAUUUGGUAAAAUCCCAUAUAAUGCCAUUUAAUAAAAGCAUUUCAAUUUCUCAGAGAGAAAAGAUUUUUG
Molecule: long non-coding RNA, 776 nt
Filed under: Drosophila guanche
Lineage: Eukaryota; Metazoa; Arthropoda; Insecta; Diptera; Drosophilidae
Source: RNAcentral